GGCCUGUAGAUUAUAAUUUAAGGUCAGACCUGCCCACUGAGUAAUUAAAUGGCCGCGGUAUUUUGACCGUGCAAAGGUAGCAUAAUCAUUAGUUUUUUAAUUGAGAGCUUGUAUGAAAGGUUUGAUGAGAAAAACUCUGUCUCUGUAAAAUUUUAUUAGAAUUUUAUUUUUAAGUUAAAAAGCUUGAAUAUUAAAUAGAAGACGAGAAGACCCUAUAGAGUUUUAUAUUUAAAUUAAAUAAGGAGUUUUUGGAAUUAAAAAUUUUAAUUUUGUUUAAGUAUUUUGUUGGGGUGAUAAAAAAAUUUGUUAAACUUUUUUUGUACUGUUACAUUAAUUUAUGAGUAAUUGAUCCUAAAGUUUAGAUUAUAAGAUAAAAUUACCUUAGGGAUAACAGCGUAAUUUUUUUAAGAGUUCUUAUCGAAAAAAAAGAUUGCGACCUCGAUGUUGGAUUAAAAUUAAUUAUUGGUGUAGAAGCUAAUAUAUUAGGUCUGUUCGACCUUUAAAAUUUUACAUGAUCUGAGUUUAGACCGGCGUGAG
Molecule: ribosomal RNA, 537 nt
Filed under: Trigonopterus sp. 933 AR-2022a
Lineage: Eukaryota; Metazoa; Arthropoda; Insecta; Coleoptera; Curculionidae
Description: partial large subunit ribosomal RNA
Rfam family: Bacterial large subunit ribosomal RNA
Source: RNAcentral